UACGUAGGGUGCAAGCGUUUAAUCGGAAUUAUUGGGCGUAAAGAGCUCGUAGGCGGUUUGUUGCGUCGGCUGUGAAAUCCCGAGGCUCAACCUCGGGUCUGCAGUCGAUACGAGCAAACUAGAGUGUUGCAGGGGAGACUGGAAUUCCUGGUGUAGCGGUGAAAUGCGCAGAUAUCAGGAGGAACACCGGUGGCGAAGGCGGGUCUCUGGGCAACAACUGACGCUGAGGAGCGAAAGCGUGGGGGAGCGAACAGG
Molecule: ribosomal RNA, 255 nt
Filed under: uncultured bacterium
Lineage: Bacteria
Description: partial 16S ribosomal RNA
Rfam family: Bacterial small subunit ribosomal RNA
Source: RNAcentral